This 1005-nucleotide long non-coding RNA is filed under the name Brassica rapa (field mustard). Its description in RNAcentral is "long non-coding RNA (BRAP_LNC007479)". The record is from RNAcentral. Lineage: Eukaryota; Viridiplantae; Streptophyta; Magnoliopsida; Brassicales; Brassicaceae.
UAAGUUUAGGUUUUGGAUACUUUCCAUUUUACUUAUCUUGUAAUCCUUAUAUAAAGGAAUCCCUUUGAUAAUUAAUAAUAACACAAAAAUAUUCAGUCUCUAAACUCUCUAAUUAUAACUGACUGAGAAUAUAUAUGAUUUGCGUCUAAGAUAUAUUCAACUUAUUGUCACAAAAAACUUAAUAAAAAAAAUAUAUACUUUGUUUUAAGGACAUUAAAAAUUACCUUAAAAAUUUUAACAUUUUAAAAAAAAAUAUGAAUCAAUAAUAUUAAUAUAAAAUUUUAUCCAAAAAACUCAGCACUAAAUAAAUGCAUAAACAAAAAAACAAACAAACCCUAAACCCUAUAAUCUUAAGCAUUAUUCUAAACCAAACCUUAAACCCAACCUAAACCAAACGCUAAACCAUUCUUACUACCUAAACCCUAAAUUCUACCUAACCCUAGACUCUACCUAAACCUAGACCUUAACCUAUCUAAUCCUAAACCCUACAUAAACCUAACCCUAAUCCCUAAACCCUUCAUACUACCUAAACCCUAAACCUACCUAACCCUAAACGCAAACCCUACCUAACCCUAAACCCUUCAUACUACCUAAACCCUAAACCUACCUAACCCUAAACGUAAACCCUACCUAACCCUAAACCCUACCUAACCCUAAACCCUUCCUAAUCCUAAAACCCUACCUAAAACCUAACCCUAAACCUAAACCCUACCUACCCUAAACUCUACCUAACCCUAAACCCUACCUAACCCUAACCCUACAUAACCCUAAACCCUACUAACCCUACCUAACAUAAACCCUACCUAACCUAAAACCUUUCUAACCCUAAACCCUUUCUAGCCCUAAAACCUACCUAACCCUAAACCCUACCUAACCCUAAACCCUAUCUAACCCUAAACCCUACCAAACCCUAAACCCUACCUAACCCUAAACCCUACCUACCCUAAACCCUACCUAACCCUAAACCCUACCUAACCCUAAACCCCUUCUAACCCUAAACCUGAC